CAUGCCCCUAAAAGUGUUGCAGGCAUGACUCUUGUCACACGUGCAUAAGUAGGUGGCAGUGUUCUGACCUAUGAACAUC
Molecule: small nucleolar RNA, 79 nt
Filed under: Mus musculus (house mouse)
Lineage: Eukaryota; Metazoa; Chordata; Mammalia; Rodentia; Muridae
Description: Small nucleolar RNA SNORA17
Rfam family: Small nucleolar RNA SNORA17
About the family: snoRNA ACA 17 belongs to the H/ACA family of snoRNAs and is predicted to guide pseudouridylation of the 28S rRNA at positions U4659 and U4598. It shares the same host gene together with ACA43. NB This family has a high threshold value to exclude a large number of closely related sequences that do not appear to have conserved H and ACA boxes, and may be pseudogenes.
Source: Rfam by way of RNAcentral